This 1412-nucleotide ribosomal RNA is filed under the name bacterium NLAE-zl-G385. RNAcentral describes it as "bacterial SSU rRNA". It matches the Rfam family "Bacterial small subunit ribosomal RNA". The record is from RNAcentral.
GGCUACCAUGCAGUCGAGGGGCAGCAUUUUAGUUUGCUUGCAAACUAAAGAUGGCGACCGGCGCACGGGCUGAGCUAACACGCUAUCCAACCUGCCGAUAACUCGGGGAUAGCCUUUCGAAAGAAAGAUUAAUAUCCGAUAGUAUAUUAAAACCGCAUGGUUUUACUAUUAAAGAAUUUCGGUUAUCGAUGGGGAUGCGUUCCAUUAGUUUGUUGGCGGGGUAACGGCCCACCAAGACUACGAUGGAUAGGGGUUCUGAGAGGAAGGUCCCCCACAUUGGAACUGAGACACGGUCCAAACUCAUACGGGAGGCAGCAAUGAGGAAUAUUGGUCAAUGGACGAGAGUCUGAACCAGCCAAGUAGCGUGAAGGAUGACUGCCCUAUGGGUGGUAAACUUCUUUUAUAUGGGAAUAAAGUAUUCCACGUGUGGGAUUUUGUAUGUACCAUAUGAAUAAGGAUCGGCUAACUCCGUGCCAGCAGCCGCGGUAAUACGGAGGAUCCGAGCGUUAUCCGGAUUUAUUGGGUUUAAAGGGAGCGUAGGUGGAUUGUUAAGUCAGUUGUGAAAGUUUGCGGCUCAACCGUAAAAUUGCAGUUGAAACUGGCAGUCUUGAGUACAGUAGAGGUGGGCGGAAUUCGUGGUGUAGCGGUGAAAUGCUUAGAUAUCACGAAGAACUCCGAUUGCGAAGGCAGCUCACUAGACUGCAACUGACACUGAUGCUCGAAAGUGUGGGUAUCAAACAGGAUUAGAUACCCUGGUAGUCCACACAGUAAACGAUGAAUACUCGCUGUUUGCGAUAUACAGUAAGCGGCCAAGCGAAAGCAUUAAGUAUUCCACCUGGGGAGUACGCCGGCAACGGUGAAACUCAAAGGAAUUGACGGGGGCCCGCACAAGCGGAGGAACAUGUGGUUUNAAUUCGAUGAUACGCGAGGAACCUUACCCGGGCUUAAAUUGCAUUUGAAUAAUCUGGAAACAGGUUAGCCGCAAGGCAAAUGUGAAGGUGCUGCAUGGUUGUCGUCAGCUCGUGCCGUGAGGUGUCGGCUUAAGUGCCAUAACGAGCGCAACCCUUAUCUUUUAGUUACUAACAGGUCAUGCUGAGGACUCUAGAGAGACUGCCGUCGUAAGAUGUGAGGAAGGUGGGGAUGACGUCAAAUCAGCACGGCCCUUACGUCCGGGGCUACACACGUGUUACAAUGGGGGGUACAGAAGGCAGCUACCUGGCGACAGGAUGCUAAUCCCAAAAACCUCUCUCAGUUCGGAUCGAAGUCUGCAACCCGACUUCGUGAAGCUGGAUUCGCUAGUAAUCGCGCAUCAGCCAUGGCGCGGUGAAUACGUUCCCGGGCCUUGUACACACCGCCCGUCAAGCCAUGAAAGCCGGGGGUACCUGAAGUACGAACCGCAAGGAGCUCCUAGG